Molecule: long non-coding RNA, 3966 nt
Filed under: Carica papaya (papaya)
Lineage: Eukaryota; Viridiplantae; Streptophyta; Magnoliopsida; Brassicales; Caricaceae
Description: long non-coding RNA (CPAP_LNC011749)
Source: RNAcentral
ACUAAUAUGUUAUAUUAUUGUUAAUUGUAUUAUUAUUAUUAUUAUUUAUUGACUUUUAUUAUUAUAAAAAAAAAGCAUAUUAAACCUGUUAUUACACUAAUUAGUCAUACAUAUAUAUAUACACGUAUAUAUGUAACGUGUGUGUAUAUAAACUAUACACACACUUACACACCCAUCUUUAUCAAACUGAGUACUCGGUCAAAGUCAUAUAUUCCAACCGUCAACCCCAUUUCACACCUCCUCAACAAUCAUGAAGUUUGAAACAAUACAUCCCACAUAUUGCCUAAGAAAACAUCGAACCAAUCACAAGACGCCACAUCGGCAUGCUGCAAAAACGCAUAAACGUUCGUCUUACAAAACAUCAAAAUGCCGUGGCAGAAGAUUAGAGAAAUAAGAAACUCAAACCUCGUGACCAACCAAAAAAACCAUCUAAAGGAUAUUUCGUCUAUACACAUAUAUGUACGUACGUACGUGUGUAUCGAUAUGGUUGGAUCAGAGAUUCGUAUGAAUUGUUUGGAGAGGUGAAAUGUGUAUGUACGUGCAGUUUACAGAUAAAUAAUUUUGCGAUUUGUAUCAAAUCUUAAAUAAAAUAUAAAACAAUAAGGUUUGAUUAAAAUUUGCAGAUCCAAUAAUUAAACUUGUCAAUUUCGUAUGAAUAAAAAUAAAAAAACAACAGCGAACGGCGAAAAUGGAAUGGAAAUCGAGAGGAGGGAGCGACCGACUGCAUGCAGGCGGCGAAGCAUACAGGACCAUAUAUGCAGAAGGAAAAUUAGGAGGAAGAUGGGUGGUUUAACGGUGGGCCCCACGUGGGCCGUGUGGUCCCACCCGAGGCACGUGGAAUGUGGGGACCAUAUACGUUGGGAUUGGCCCCGGGGCGGGCGGGCGGCUGGUGAAGGGGGAGUUGGCACGUGUGAGGAGUGGUGGUGGGGGGAGAGAGAAGAACAUUACUGGGUUUAGGCAAACAUGGAAGGAUUCUUGGGUUCUGGGAAGCAGAUUCUGCCCUGCAUGGAAUGAUUGUGGAUUUCCUUCUUUCUUUUUUUUUUUUUGAAGCUUGGUUUUUGGCCGUCGCAUUAUUUGAAUAUUUAAUUUAAUGUCCACCAUUUUAUAUAACAUAUAUUUAUAAUUUGUAUUCUCUGAACAGAAUUAUAAAGUACAGAGGUGGAAUUAUAAAUUUUUAAACCCUUUUACUAUUAUAACAACUAUUAUUGCUACAGAGGAUGGAAAGUUAUAGAGAUGGCACUAUGCUACGUGGGAUAUAUUUAUAUUCCAGUUUAGAUCAGUGUAGGGGUCCUCUCUUGUUCAUACGACCGGGGGACCAAUUCACACGUGUUAUUCUGUAGAACCAGUACUCCAAUCCAUAUCUCAAACUAAAACUUCUAAACCACAAGGUACUUAUAACUAAAUUUUCAGUAGUAGUUUAAUCAUCAGUAAUUUGGUAAUUAGGGUUCAUCCCAUGGUUUCAGACCCAGAACACCAUACAACCGAACUUUAUGGUGAUUAGGGUUUCCAAGUCAACAAUUUCCAGUCUUUAUCAAUUAUUUUUCUUCAAAAAACCAUUUUAUGAACCACCCAAUUCUCACCGUAUUAUAUUGAUCACCCAACAGACAGGAGGAUAUAAACCCUAAUUAACUACAUGCGUAGUACAAAAAUGAAAAACUUAGCAGGUAAGAAUUUGUGUUUGUUUGGUUGUGGUUACCUAGAGAGUUUCUAUAAUGAAACCAAGACUUGAGAGUAACUGUUAGUUGUCUCUUUAUACAACUUGUGAAAAGAUCUAACCAUUUUAGGACAGCCAUACCCUAAAAGAUCCUCCCAUAAGGACCACUGCCCUACGGGAGGGCACAGAGAUGUAUAUCAUUAUUUUAGAUCUCAAUCUGAACUGAGAUUUGCUUCUCUUUCCCUCUGCUUCUCAGACUGAAAUUACUAUUUUGCCCCAGGAGUGCUCUGGAGAGGCCAUUCUGUCCCACAGCUCCGGCUGUGUAGGGGCAGUACAUGCUCUGUAACGGGCAUAAAGUACGGGUGUCCUACAGUAGGGCAGAGAGAGAGAGAGAGAGAGAGAGAGAGAGGGAGGGAGAAGACAUGCAAAUGUUGGGUGAAUGAAUCAGGGCCGUCCAAACAGGACAAAUCUGGGUGCAUCAAAUAUGUGGGUGGUCUAGCAUUUAUGUACAGUUUGGUGUAAGUGAUGAAUGCAGCAAGUCGCUAUCAUCUGUUAGUUGUGUUUUUGUACUGCAACAAAAAAAAAAAAAAAAAAAACCUAAUAGUACCAAAGACAUCACUCCCAGACACAAAAGCUAGAUAUGUCUGCUGGAUGCUUUGGGGCGUGCAACUCACGCCCCAUCCUGUUAUAUUUCCCUCACCUUUUCUUGGUACUCUUGGGAGCAAAGCAAGAAGCCAAUUACGUAUAAUAACAGUUCCUAACUCAAACUUAUUUUUUCAUUAUCUACAAAUACUUACUAAAUAUAUAUCAAAUAUUGUAUUUUAUGAUUUCAAUCGUGUAAAAAAAAAAUAUAUACUGUAUUCUAGGACAUGCUCUAAAGACCAGACCUACUUAACAAAUAAGGGGAAAUACACACACACACACACACAUAUAUAUAUAUACACAUGAGAGCUGCUGGUGCAAAUUACAUUUCUAACCUAGAAGUGAAUAAGACAAAAAGAGAGUAAAAGAAAUAGUAUAGUAAUUCUAAUUUACAAGUUUUCCUUUAAUAGUGAGAUUUUAAUAAAUAAAAAAAUUUAUAAGUUGAAAGGUAAACAAAACUCAAACUAAAAAAGUAACUUAAAUAAAAAGUUCAUCAUCUCUACUCAUAUUUUGGCAAAAGAACUGAAAAAGACAACUUACUCUUUUGCUGAACUUAUGUAUAAGCCAAGGAAAAAAAAUAAGUUUCUACAAUGGUAUUCGGUUUAACUUGGUUUCUCUUAGAACAACUUUAGAUUUUGACUUGUACAUUUUAAAAACACUUUUAUAACUAAACGGGUGAAGUAAAAAUAUUUCUAGCAAAAACAAAUUUCUUUUUGAAAAAGUUAAAACACAAACUAUAAUUUGUAACUUUAAAAAAUAACUUUUAACUUUUUAAUAAAAAUUUAUACUUGAAAAUAGUUAAAACGGUUUAUAUUUAGUAAAUUUGGCUUACAUGCCAAUAGCUUAUAGGUUACAUUUUUUAAUAUAUUAAAAAAGAAACAAGAAAACAAACUCUCUUCUUUACCUUAUAAGCCAUGCAACAAAACCCAUUUUGUAGUUUAUAUUUUUAUUAAAAUGUCUUUGUUAGAAAUUACAAACAUUCUCUACUUAAUUUUAAGAGUAAGUUUUCCUUUUUUUUUUAACCCAUAACCCAAAGAGAGUUCAAAAGAUUUGCACAACCCUCUUGGAAAAGAGAGGCAGACAUAACCAAAUUAUUUAAGGUGAACUAGUCAAGAGCUUGUAAGUUUUAUGAACUAACGGAGCCGGUAAGUUUAUGAACAAAUAAGUCUUAUUUAUAAGCUACAAUAAGUCCAAAGAUUUUUUUUCUUGGGAAGGAGGAGGGGGAGGAAGUGGAUACAACAACCUUGUAACAAACAAAAUGAUGAGCUUUCUAUGGCCUAUUUAUUUCCAGAAGAGUUGAAUUAGCAAAAAAAAGAAUAAGAAACGGAUUCCAAGUUAUUGAGUUAGAAAUAUAUGGGAUGAUUGAAUGAAUUGAUAUAUGUGAUAUACAAAACAUGAGGGCAUGGCCUACCUCAGCUUUUAACUUAUCUAUCUACAUGUCCCACAUUUGGUUUGCAAAAGCUACACUCGUAGGUAAGAUGAAAGACGCACACAACAUCCAUUUUCCAGGUGCAACAAGGCGUACCUUACGCAUUUCUACAUCGACAGCCACCUCUGAUAGGCCAAUUCUUAUCCGCUGCAUUGAGAGGCGAAAAAAAAAAAGAUAUAAACAUCAGUACAGCCACAGAUUUUAUUAAGGACAGCCAGAUGCACUCCACCCGCCUCNNNNN